This is an RNA transcript of Mytilus trossulus (common blue mussel), 3214 nucleotides long. RefSeq lists it as uncharacterized. The transcript is spliced from 4 exons. Lineage: Eukaryota; Metazoa; Mollusca; Bivalvia; Mytilida; Mytilidae. The record is from RefSeq and is a predicted model, not a curated record.
GUCGAUAUUUGUUACAAAGGUGUAGUUACAGAUCUAUUAUAGAUUUUGACUGAAAUUGUUUCAAAUACAAACAGAUUUACCUCGGACUUCAAUUCCAAAGCAUCAGAUAUAUUUCUGAAUUUCACGAGAACGAUAAUGGAAAUAAGAUUGGUGUACGUGACUUUAAUUAUGAUAACCAUGAACAUACAGAACGUUUUAGUAUCUUCACUGACAGCACUGGGAAUUUCGACGUAUUAUACUUCUCAAACAUCAACAGAUAUUUCUAUUAUUGGAAGUUCAACUGAAAUGAUAUCUACAGAUGAUAUAUAUUUAACUUCUUUUCCAGUCAGUGUAUCGUUGAAUGCUACAGAUAUGGACACCUAUAUUAACACGACUUUUCAGCAUUCUGAUUCCACUGUUAGUCCAAGUUUUCUAGUAGAUUACCUGACACGUUUAACUGGUGAGACGUCUUCGUAUUUUUCGCGAGAGGAAAGUAUGCAAUUUAGUUAUGUCAUCUCAUCGUCAAUGGACGAAAACGUCUCAUUUUCAUCCAUAUUAUUCAGUCCAAGUUCAGAAACACCGUUUGAUUCGUUACAAUCAGAAACAGAGCUAUCAUUACAUACUACCUUUUCCGUAUCAACUUCUUUGAUUGACUCUGACUCAUAUUCGUCAAUGAUUUCUGUCAUGCCUACCAUACAGCUUGUAUCUACAGGUUCUGAAACAACUACCGCAAAUAGAGACAGUACCAACAUGUUUCCAUCGACGGCUCAAACAAUAACAGAGGUAAUAACCAUGUGUUCAUGCAAUUCCGAAGAAAGCCAUUUUCAAUCGGAUUCUGACAUUACUUCAAGUACAAUUGAUCAACCAUGUUACACUUCAACCAUACAUCCAACAACAUGUUCGUCAAAUGUUGAAGCAACGUCUGUAUUUGAGACGACAACUGUUGACAAUAAGCAAUGUAGCUGCUCAUUACAAGCAGAAUCCAGCCAGUCUAUAACUAAUAUUAGACAAUCAACUUUUGCCGUUGUUUAGAAAGUUAUAAUUAACAUGAUUAACCAGAGUCCGACAUCCAUAUGACGAGUGAUAACGGAUCAACAGUUACAGAGUACCAAUAAACGAUGUCAUGACAGUAUUUUAGCAGAGAAUGACUAGAACAGGCCGAAUCUAUAACUAUAUUGGACAAAUAGAGGAGACAAAUAGAUGGAUUUGCUUGGUGAAUCAUACCUUCAAGAACUACAUUAUUCAUUUGUUAAUGCUAAUUUUCAUGAACAGCUAUUACUUUUAUCUAAAUAUUCAGACACCAUCAGUGUGAAAAUGGAACUAUCAAUACGCGUUAUUAGUUCUUCGCCCGGAAUGCUUUUAACUUCUGAUUUUCCUUUGAUAAGAAUCAGCAUUUAUCUUGAUUAUUUGAUUCUUAUUGUUCAUUAUAUUGUAAUAAAAUCAUUCGUGAAAGUCAAAACUUUAUGUCGGGAUCUGGCAAGAGUAAGGAUUUAUGAUCGUUUCCCGUAAUUCGAGCGUAACUGUUUUAUGACAUAGAAAUUGUUAAUCUUGUUCCCCUGAAACCAGUGGGUGAUGUGAAUAAGACCCGACGUAUUUGGAGAUCAUAGCCAUCGUUCUCUUGAGUUUGAAUCUUGAGGAACUUGCGCAUCCAAUAUUGCUACCAAUAGUGCACAGACGUGUCAGUGUAAUCACUCUUAUCGGCGUUCUGUUAUGAAUGUCAGAUCUCGAUAUUUAAAGUAAAGUGUAGCCGUUAUUUUCACAUAAACUAUUCGUGUGUUAUGUUUUGCCUUUUACUUGAUUCUUUAAUUAAAUGAUCAAUUGAAAGAGUUGGUCCUGCUUCCUUUCAUAAAAAAGAACGUAUAAACAAGUAUAUCGUCUAAAAGAGAGAUAAAUACUACUUCAAUAGAUAAGUAUGUAAAACUUAAUACGCAUUCAUUUAUUUUCGUGGGUAUAAAUUUUCGUGGAUUAAGGAAAACAAGCAUUUUCGUAGAUAUAAGAUUUCGUGGUUUUGCCAAUCUCUGCAUGCAAAGCCUAUAGAAAAUUUGUAUUUUUUUUUUACAUUUAAAUUCGUGGUUCACCUGAACCAACGAAAACCACAAAAAUCGGUAUUCAAUGAAUAAUAAUGAAUCCACAGUAUUCUCUUAAACUGACAUUAUCAAGAUGCCUUAUUCCUUGAUUGGUAACAUGUUUGUUACGUUUGGAGGACAUAUUUUUUAAUAAACAAUCGCAAUUCUAUUUCAAACUAACUGUGUUCCUAUUCUUAUCGACGUGUGUAUUUAUUUAUAUGAAGUUAUAAAAAAGAAGAUGUGGUAUGGUUGCUAAUGAGACAACUAUCCACAAGAGACCAAAACGACACAAAAAUUAACAAUUUUAGGUCACCGCACGGCCUUCAACAAUGAGCAAAUCCCAUACCGCAUAGUCAGACUACUAGUAUAUACUUCUAAAGAAAAGAAAAAUAACUCAGUAGUAGAACAGCGGCAUUCUACUGUUACAGUAUCCUAACUGUAUUUUUCGCCGUGGAUGAUAUUCGUUCACUAAAAUAUUUCAAAACUUGAUGAUAUUGUUGUGUUAUCCUUUUAUAAAAUUAUUUUUAUGGAAAAGUCCAGGCCUAAUUCGCAAAAUAUUUUAUGUUUCUGUGAUACCGGGGAGUUUUUUUUUCGAGGGAUACCGAUUGUUGUGGUUUUCGUGGAUUCCUAUAUCUACGAAUUUUAGUGUUCAACGAAAUACCACAACUUUUCUGCACCAAAGGCAAAUUUCGACAAUUUAUGUUAUGAUAAACUAAAUCUAAUAUAGUAAAAAAAAAUAUUAUGACUGUUUACUUAAAGCUUCAGCAAGGGGUUACCCUUAUUAUCCUUUAAGAAAUUUGAAAUGUCCGACUUCGUUCUAUUAAAUGCUAACCAAAAUAACAGUUUUGAUCGAUGAGAGUUAGAUUUCAGGUUAUUUCAAGCUGUAGUAUUUAAGGGUUCCAAAUUCUCAUACGAAAAAAAAAAUAUGGUUGGGCUUUCUUUUUUUAAUUCCAAUAGCAAUAAGUUCUAUUAUUCCAAAUUCAUGAAUAGGACUGUUUAUGUGACCGCUUUAAAGUGACAUCUGUUUGACCUUAAUCAAAACAUAUGAUGCUCUUUUAUCUAUCAUGUCUAGUUAAUUUCUGUCAUCAAACGGCCUUUUAAUUUCACGUAUAUAACAUUUAAAAAUGUUCACUAUGCCUUAUCCCUUAAUGAAGACAAUGUGUAAGCAU